RNAcentral lists this ribosomal RNA (520 nucleotides) under uncultured Glomeromycotina. RNAcentral describes it as "SSU rRNA". It matches the Rfam family "Eukaryotic small subunit ribosomal RNA", at positions 569 to 1090 of the family's 1831-position model. Lineage: Eukaryota; Fungi; Glomeromycota. The record is from RNAcentral.
AGCAGCCGCGGUAAUUCCAGCUCCAAUAGCGUAUAUUAAAGUUGUUGCAGUUAAAAAGCUCGUAGUUGAAUUUCGAGACCGGUCUACUGGUCGUGCUUUUGUACGUACUGGUAUUAUUGGUUUCUCCUUUCUGACGAAUCUUAAUGCCAUUAAUUUGGUGUUUUGGGGAAUCAGGACUGAUACUUUGAAAAAAUUAGAGUGUUUAAAGCAGGCUCACGCUUGAAUACAUUAGCAUGGAAUAACGAAAUAGGACGUUUGAUUUUAUUUUGUUGGUUUCUAGGAUCGACGUAAUGAUUAAUAGGGAUAGUUGGGGGCAUUAGUAUUCAAUUGUCAGAGGUGAAAUUCUUGGAUUUAUUGAAGACUAACUACUGCGAAAGCAUUUGCCAAGGAUGUUUUCAUUAAUCAAGAACGAAAGUUAGGGGAUCGAAGACGAUCAGAUACCGUCGUAGUCUUAACCAUAAACUAUGCCGACUAGGGAUCGGAUGAUGUUAAUUUUUUAAUGUACUCAUUCGGCGCCUUA